This 468-nucleotide ribosomal RNA is filed under the name uncultured bacterium. RNAcentral describes it as "partial 16S ribosomal RNA". It matches the Rfam family "Bacterial small subunit ribosomal RNA", at positions 28 to 507 of the family's 1533-position model. The record is from RNAcentral.
GACGAACGCUGGCGGCGUGCUUAACACAUGCAAGUCGAACGGAAAGGCCCUGCUUUUGUGGGGUGCUCGAGUGGCGAACGGGUGAGUAACAUGUGAGUAACCUGCCCUUGACUUUGGGAUAACUUCAGGAAACUGGGGCUAAUACCGGAUAGGAGCUCCUGCUGCAUGGUGGGGGUUGGAAAGUUUCGGCGGUUGGGGAUGGACUCGCGGCUUAUCAGCUUGUUGGUGGGGUAGUGGCUUACCAAGGCUUUGACGGGUAGCCGGCCUGAGAGGGUGACCGGCCACAUUGGGACUGAGAUACGGCCCAGACUCCUACGGGAGGCAGCAGUGGAGAAUAUUGCACAAUGGGCGGAAGCCUGAUGCAGCAGCGCCGCGUGCGGGAUGACGGCCUUCGGGUUGUAAACCGCUUUCGCCUGUGACGAAGCGUGAGUGACGGUAAUGGGUAAAGAAGCACCGGCUAACUACGUG